This 12405-nucleotide long non-coding RNA is filed under the name Citrus sinensis (sweet orange). Its description in RNAcentral is "long non-coding RNA (CSIN_LNC003515)". Lineage: Eukaryota; Viridiplantae; Streptophyta; Magnoliopsida; Sapindales; Rutaceae. The record is from RNAcentral.
CAUUUACUCUCUAAGUGGUCUUGAUUUAAGUUUAGAAUUGCCAUAAUAACUCUUAUUUCAUAGAGUUAUCAACAAGUCUUCCAAACCAGCUCAUGUUUGGGAAGAAAGUUCCUCUAGCAACAACACCAAAGCAUUCUGGAGAAGCUAUGAAAUGCCACCAAUACAACCAUGGCCGCUAAUGGCUAUAGGUUGGGAAGAUUCAGAAAGUUCCAUUGGAUCUAACCAAACUGUAGAAUCAUUCCAUUCUUCCAGAAGACCAAUCAUAAUAGAGGGAAGACCUCAUUACCCUGCCAAUCCAACUUAUGUCGACACAAGAAGAAGAUUCACUAGACCAUCUACAUUUGAGACAGGCCAACAUUCAGGAGUAGCAUUGUUAGAUCCUCCAGAAAGAAAACCACAACAGUCUCAACAAGAACAACAACCAGAACAGAUGGGUGAAGAGGACGAACAAGGCCAAGAAUGGGAAAAGAGAGUCUAAAUCUCAUAUUCUCCUCAAGGAAAAUUCUUUUGGAACAUUAAUAAUAUCAAACCAAAAGACAGAAUUGCUUAUGUUGAGCAAAUGAUAGCUUGGUAUGAAAUAAAAUGCCAAAGAGCACCACAACUUACCAGAAGAGCAGCCAUGCAAAGGCUAGUCUCAGGCUUUACUGGAUCACUCAAGCGAUGGUGGAGUAACAUGUUAACACCAGUCCAACGUGAAUACAUGUUGUCACGACCAUAUCCCAGUACUGCGUUAUGGAGACCCUUAUUAUAGAUUUCUUCGGAUUUGGACCUAGAGAGACAUAGUUGGCAGAAAAGCAAUUCCCCCAAAACAAACAAAUGUUGUGAUGUUAGAAAGCGUAAAGAAUAUUACAGUGAACAGGGGCAUCUUUACUAUAUCUUUCUGAAACCCACAGAUGUAGUACACAGAACGUUUGUUUUCAGGCCUUAGUGGAUGAGUUAUAGUCUCGUGAGGGUUUCCAGCGAUGAUACCCACAAACAUCAUCAAAAAUGCCUCAAAGAUUGCAUAAAGUAUAUAGCUCAAAGAAAAUUAAAAAUAUUGGCAAAGUUCUAACUUUAAUUCAGUGGUCAACCUCAUCUCAUAUUGGAUUCUUGUGUUGUGUGUGAAUCAAUUCAAUCAAAACUCAUUCUCAAAAUUUUCAAUAUCAACAACCCUUGUCUUGAAUAAUAAACAGAGUAAGUCAAACUAACCUCAUCAUCUUGAUUUUUUUUUCACAGGCAUAAAUUUGCAUUUUCUUUUGAUUUUUCUUGAAGCACAAGCUUUUUCUUUUCUUUUCAUUUUUUUUUCAUAGUCAGGAGCUUUCACUCCACCCCUUAAGGUAGCUUUCUUCUCAUAGUAGAUUAUACUCUACAUACUAGUGGUACAUAGGCCCAAAUUACUCAAGAAUAGCUUCACUUUUAAGGGUUAUAGGUAGCUAUUUCUGGCUAUGGUGCCUGGGUAAACUUAAGUAAUGUAGAAUCGAGGCAGACAGUCAUUUAUUCACUCUUAAUUGUGAUGCAUAAAUUAGCAAGUGUACUAGUCGGCACAAGUAAUAUAAUGAAGAGUAGAAUAUCGUCCCACAGAGAUUGAAUAUCCUAUUAGUUACCAAAAUUAUUCUAACCCUAAUUUAUUUGAACAAUCGAAUAGGCAAAUUUAGAUUAAAAAUUAAAAUAAAAUAAAAUAACUAAAAAUUAAAUAAAGAUGCAGGCAGUAAUGAAAUCACCAAGAGAUUAAAACACUAGGACAUCUGAUUUCACCAUAACCAAUCCAAUUUAAUCCUCCAUCUAUGCUAUUAAAAUUUACUACCCAUGUUGACAGUGAAUUUUCCUAAUCUAUUCAAUAUCCUCUCUUGAGUAAUAUAAAAAAUAUCUCCACAUAUUAACCCACUAUAUGUCUAUACAAAUUUAAAUAUGCAAAGAUUCAUUAGGCUCCAUGGAAAUUCUUAGAAGAACUGCACGAAUCACGUUGACACAUCUCUGUCUUUCAUUCAAUUCAUAGCAUCCAUUACACAGAGCAAAAAUACAUAAAUCUCCUCUCGGUCUGAUUAUGUAUCCUCAAAUCAUUCAAAUAUUGGCCAGAUAUUUAAAAGCAUUAAGCACAAUAAUGAACACUCAACCAUGGAAUAAUAAAUUAAAAAUAACAUAAAUUUAUGGAAUUAAAUCUUCAUAGUUAGGCUACAUCGUAGCCCUAGUAAAAUAAAUUAGUUCAUGGGAAUAUAAAGCGAAUCCAUUAAUUUAAGUGGGAACAUUCAAGCAAGAUAAUAGAGAAGAGGAAAAGAAAAACUCAAGAAGUUGUCUCUCUCCAAUCUCUGCAAUUGACUUCUCCAAAUUGUUGCUCCUAGAUUUGCAGUGGUGGCUUCUCUUCUCCUUUUAUUUUUUUCUUGCUCUCGGUUUUCUCUCCAAUUUCUACAAUUUGUACGACUGCCUCUGUUUAUUCGAUCCUCAACUUCUUAAAUUGUUCGGCUUCCGAAUCCUUAAAUCAAAAGGAUUUAAAAUGAAACAAACCUAGCCCACUUUUUAAGCCCAUGCACUCUUACCUUGUAAAAUUUAAUUGGCCAAUUUGCAAAGCCAAAGCCCAUCACGUGAAUCAUUCAAAUUGCCAUUUGCCAAUUAAUUCUUUAAUGCUCCGCACGUGCUUGCCAUAUUUGUCAACCAAAAAUUCAAAGCUUCCUGAUUUGGCUCUUUAUUUCUUUCCCUUUUGCUUCCAAAUUAUUUUCAUUAUACUCCAAUUUGUUUCCUAUUUAAGCUUCUUUUCUCAUGAAUAUUCCCAAUAUUCCUACAAUGACAAAAUAUAAAAAUUAAGAUAAAAAUUAAUAUAAUAAAAUAUAAUUUAACAUAAAAUUAAGUUAUGGAAGCAUUAAAAUAAUAGAUAAAUUAUGAGCACAUCAUGGACCAGUAGCAGAAAUGAUGGAAGCCAAGUUCAAAGCUGAUGUAGUAACAAAUCUAACAAACUACAGUUUGGCUCAGUUAUACCAGAUAGCUACAGAACUGAUCGAGAAUCAUUGCAGGAACCAAGACCUCAAAAAGCACAUGAAACAGAUAGAGAAAACCUCUCUGUCCAAGUACUGCAAUGACAAACCCAAUAAAUUUGGUUGCCAUGAAAUAAGCAACUAUGCUCUUGCUCAAAGAAAUUCCAGGGCAAGAAAAGGAAAGCUUGGAUACCAUACAAAAGCAAAAGGCACCGCUUUGUCAAAAGAAGAAAAUUCCAGAAAAGAUCAGGCAGGUGUUUCAUUUGUUGAAAGAAAGGGCAUUACGCAAAGCGAUGCAAGUCAAAGAAAAAAAUUCCAGCCAAGCUUCUUCAACUCAUUGAAGAUCUUGAUUUUGAUGAUGAAUACUAUGAAUGGUUUGACAAUCCAGAGCAUGCAUUACUCGCAAUUGACUCACAGUCUCAAAAGUCUGAUACAUCCAGCGAGUCAGAUGAGCUAGAAGAAUCUUCAGACGAUGAACAAGUUCUAAAUAUUUCUGAGGAACAACUUGUUGAUCUAACAAUGCAGACAACACUAGCAUUCAGGCCAUAUGUCAAAGCCAUCCUCCAGUUAUCAGAUAACAAGCAUAUUGCUCUCACUGCCUUGAUUGAUAUUGAAGUUGUUUCUUCAAUUAUUCAUGGAAGCUGCUUACCCAGAGGCUAUCAUGUACCAAUACAAGUCAGCUUUGCAACAGCAAGUGGUGAUAAAUUUUACAGUCAUAAGUAUACCAAACCAAUUGAGCUUUUACCUUUUGGUAAAAGACAUAGUUUCUUUGCUUAUGACUCCUCAGGAGAAGAUUUACUGCUUGGAACAAACUUCCUUAGCCUCAUUGCACCAUUCACAUUCUAUCCUGAAGAAUUUAGUUAUACAAUCACCAGUCCUGUUGAUAAAAAAUCUCAUUUCCUCAUAAUUUCAUGGGUUGAGCAAUAAUCCAUUUUUGGGACGGGUGAUAAAAGGAAAAUCCAGAAAACUCCAGUCCAAAAAUUUGAGAUCUAGCACAAAGAACUUUUACAGUGCUGUGCAAACAUUCCAAACAAGUUCUGGUCUAGAGAAAAGUAUUUUGUUUCACUCCUGUACAAAGAAGGAUAGACUAUGCCACAUCAGACAGCCUCUCAUCCAGGAAUGCCUCAUGACGAAGAAUUGUGCAAAUAGGAAAUUUAAUAACUCUUGGACCUCAAGCUCAUCAGGCCCUCUAAGUCUCAUUGGGCCAACCCAGCAUUCUAUGUGAAUAAGCAUUCAGAGCAAGUACGUGGAAAGAAAAGAUUGGAGAUCGACAACAGGAAGCUGAAUGAUUGCCUAUAAGACAUUAGGUAUCCUAUACCUAGAAGAACUCAUCUUUUAAAAAAGAUAACAUCUGCUAAAGUUUAUUGAAAGGUCGAUAUGAAGUCAGGAUUUUGGCAGAUUGGGAUUAAAGAUUAGGACAUGCAUAAGACAACAUUCGUAUUGCCACAUGGACACUAUGAAUGGAACGUGAUACCAUUUGGUUUGAAAAAUGCUCUAUUAGAAUUCUAGCAUAGAAUGAAUGAAGUGUACAACCCUAUCUCAAAAAUUUUUCUGGUAUACAUUGAUGAUGAUUUGAUUUUCAGCAAUAGUGAAGAAGAGCAUGCUCAGCAUCUCUUCAGAUUCAAAGAACUAACAUACAGGCAUGGCUUAGCAUUAUCUAAAUAAAAAAUGAAGAUUGGACUUGAUGAGAUUAAUUUUUUAAGACUUCACAUCAAGGAUGGACACAUCAUCCCACAGCCACAUAUCGCAGAAAAAAAUAUCUCAGUUUCCAGAUGAGCUGUCAGGCAGAAAGCAGAUUCAGUAAUUUUUAGGGAUAAUCAAUUAUACAGCUGAUCAUAUCUAGAAUCUCUCAAAGCUGACGAGCCAGAUCUCGAGACAUCUAAAGAAGAAAUCUUCACUGUGGUCGAUAGAAGCGACAAAUGCAGUAAAGGAACUAAAGCAAAAGCGCCAGUCACUUCUACCAUUAAAGAUACUUGACAAUGGACACCUCAUCCUGCAAACAGAUGCUAGUGAUCAUUAUUGGGGUACAAUAUUGAUUGAAGAAUCUAAUGGAAACAGGAGAAUCUGUGGCUAUAAAUCGGGACAAUUCAGUGAAGCUCAGCACCACUACCCAUCCUCAAAGAAAGAAGUACUAGCAGUAAUCAAAGAAAUCAAGAAGUUCUAAUUCUUUCUUUCUCUUACUCCCUUUGUGAUCGAAACAUAUUACAAGUACCUCCAAGGGUUACCAAGUAGAAAAGAAGGAGAAAUUCUAGAUCCUCAACUAGUACGGUGGUUCGAGUCUCUAUCGAGAUUCCAGUUCAAGGUAAAGCACAUCAAAGGAGAAUCCAACACAGUUGCGGACUUCCUCUCAAGGCCAGUCAUGGUAAGUUUUCCAACAUUGUGCAACAAGUCUUCAAAGAAACCUUUGGAGUGGUAUCAAUUACCAGCUUCAGUAAAGUCACCUCCUCCAGAAUCCAGCAGAAGGUUACCACCAACAUGGUUUGAAGAACAAUUUUCCUACAGCCCUUCUGAAAUCAUUGAGAAACUCCCAGCAGACAUCAAAGAGCUGAUCUUUGAAAAAGUCACAAAUCAUCUGACUUAUCCUGCCAGCUCUAACGAUACAUAAUGGAGAGUUUGGGCACUGAUAGAUAGUAUUCACAUGCAUCUAGCAAGGAAAGUUGGAGAGAAGUUUCUACAAUUUAAACUAUUUGACCCCCAUCCAAACAUAGACUAGAUACAUGAGUUUGUCUUUCAACCCACUUUAUUCUUCCACCAUGUCAUGAAUGAAGAUUCAAAUUGGGGACAUUAUGCGAUUUGUGAUGCUACGCCACGUGCUUAUUACUCUUUUUGGUUACUCCUCAACAUGUAUCCCAUGGCUACUCUAUUCUAGCCUCAGGUCAUCCACAAAAGCCGAAGGUACAACUAUGGAGGGUGGUUCGACAUACUUUUUUCUUCCAUUUUUCAUUUGUCAGAUUAGCACAUAAAGAAUAAAAGAAAAAAUACUUUUUGAAAUUUUGACUAUAUCAAGCAAGCUGAAAGCGACAAUACAAGCCAAUGGAUAGGGUAGAAAAAAACAAGAACAUAUUGCAUAUACCUUUGUAUGUCAAUUCCAGAUCAAGCUAUAGUUGACGUAUUAGUCUACAAUAAAAUAUUUUCAACAUAUUGAACUUUGUUGAAAAUUAUUGAAGAAUUAGGUUGGAUUUGUUUGAAGGGAUUAAGGGAGCGGCAUCUAGGAGAGAAAAAAUAAUAAUAAUGUUUUAGGCUUAAGUAAGAAUUGUAUUGUAAGAUUUUGUUUUAAAUAUAAUAUAUUUAUUAAUUUAUAUUAGGUAAAAAUAAAAAAUUUACUAAUCAAUAUUUUAAUUAAUAAAAAAAUAAUUAGUAAAUAAAAAUUAAAAAAUAUUUAAAUAUAAUGGGGUUUGGGAUGGGGAGUACAAAACUAAACCCUACUCCAUUAAUAUUUUAGGGAUUUUUUUCCUUCAUUUUCCACACCAUUCUCUAAAAAUUAUUUAAAAUUCACUACAUUUGGGGUAGGUCACAUAAAGUCUUAAAUUCAUGGAGAAUUUUACUAUCCCUAAUUUCACACGAUAAGGAGCACGUUUGCUGCCAGCUUCACCAAGAUUGUGUAGCAAACGUUGUGCGCCGUCACAACAUCUAACCGUGUUGUGCACAGUGAUUGUAUCAAUUGGUUUAGUAAAAGAUAUAGUUGAAUCCAUUAGGGUUCUCAACGACAAUGAUUUAUUCGGCUGGGUUUGGUAGCUGUGGCGACUUAAAGAUUUAGGUUCUGAAAUUGGGUGAGAAUCUGACAUAGAAAUGUAUGAUGGUGUAAUAAGCUGACCAAUUAACACGAAGCAUGUAAAAUUGUUCAAAACUAUUAAAUUACCCUAAAGUUUUUAUUUGGUUUUUGGUCAGCAACUAAAUUGAGAGCCGAAUUAGAAGUUCGUCUUUUUCUCUAAUAUAACCACUUAGUCAUUUCUAAAAAUAAAAAAGUUCACUUUAAUUUUUUUUGGGAAAAGGACACAGAGACCCAUAAUGUUUGAAUAAGGGACACAGAGAUCCCUAACGUUUGAAAAAGGGACAUAAAACCCCCUAAGAUUUCAAAAAAGACACUCAGACCCCCAUUUGUUAACAUAAAUUAUAAUUUUAAAGUGUAAUUACCAUUAUACCCUUAUAGCAUAUUAAAAAAUAAUUGUUCAUUGUCCAAUUUAUUCGUAUAUUAUUAAUAAAAUUACGAAUAUAACUUCAUUAUCCAAUUUUUUCAUUUAAUUUUUGUCAAAUUUUCUCUUCAACUAAAUAAAUUUAAUUCAUUGCUCAAGAAUAAAAAUAAAUUAAAUUGAUUACUAAUAUAAUAAAAAUAACAAUUCUCAAUAACAAUUCUUCAUUUAAACUUAUAUAAUCAACAAAAUUAAAAAAAAUUGGUUACAACAAUAAUUACAAAAUCUUAAUUGUACUAAAUAAAAUGGAAAAAUUGGGUAAUGAAGUUAUAUUCAUAAUUUUAUUAAUAAUAUAGAAAUAAAUUGGACAAUGAACAAUUAUUUUUUAAUAUGCUAUAAGGGUAUAAUGGUAAUUGCACUUUAAAAUUAUAAUUUCUGUUAACAAAUAGGGGUUUUAGUGUCUUUUUUGAAACCUUAGGGGGUUUUGUGUCCCUUUUUCAAACGUUAGGGGUCUCUGUGUCCCUUAUUCAAACAUUAGGGGUCUCUGUGUCCUUUUCCCUUUUUUUUUUUUCAUUUACAUGGUUUUUUUCCCACACCUAACAUUGACUGGUGCUUAUAUUUGAUGUCAGUUGCUUGGAUAAUUGUUCUUGAAAUAUGUUUAUAUAGUAUAGAAAUAAUUUUAUUAAAUUAAUCGUGUAUUAUAAACUUCUAUAUGUUUAAAUUUUGUAAUUAAUUCAGUUAGUAGUAGUUUUUUACCUUUGUCUUUUGCGGUAAUAUAUUUUUAUAUAGGCUUUUGGUCAAUGAUGGAAAACACAUUAUAUGGAAUGGUAGCAUAGAUAUUCAUUUUCAGCCUCCAAAUUUAUCAUUACCUUUGUAAUCAUUUCAUCAUCAUCAUAAUUACCAUUCUCUCUCUUUCCUUUCUUUCUUUCUUUUUAGUAUCUUCUUGUCAUAAUGCUUGUACAGGCUCUUAACAAAUCCAACUAGCUAAACCAUCAAUGCCCCACAUAGCUAUGAGAUCUAAAAGACAUUAAUUUUUUAUUUAUUUCAUCUAAUUUGGGUGUCAUUUCAUUUAGGGGUGGGCAAAUUCGGUUUGGAUCGGUUUGAGACAUAUUCUCAAACCGAUCCAAACUUAUCGGUUUGAAAUAUUUUUAAACCGAUAUCAACUUAAAAUUUUUUCAAACCGAACCGAUCCAAACCGACUGGAUCGGUUUGGAUCGGUUUGGAUCCUCGGUUUGAGCUUAUUAGCUAAAAGCCCACUUCUUUUAUAUUAUUUUACCUAAAUUAUUUGUUAUUUUGUAGUGUCUGUAAUUUAAAUUGAUACAUCUUUUAUAUUAUUCAUAUCUACUUUGAUAUCUACAUAACAAUUCAAAGAUACAUCCAUACAAGUUUAUAACAUAAUACACCAUAAUAAAGAAGUUAUUAACAUGUUCAUUGAUUCAUUCAAAACAAACUCACAAAAUUAAAAUAAACUUGAACAACAUUUGACAAUUAAAAUAUUGUGCAUCUUGUCCGUCAAAACUUAUGGCCCAAUUACUUUUGAUUUGUCAAAAUCUGCAUAAAAUGAUAAAUAUAAUUAGUUAGAUUGCUUAACUUAGAAUAUAAUGUAAUUAUAUAAUAUAAUUAUAUAAUAUUUCUGGAUUGGAUCGUACUUUUGAUUUGUCAAAAUCUGCAUAAAAUGAUAAAUAUAAUUAGUUAGAUUGCUUAACUUAAAAUAUAAUAUAAUUAUAUAAUAUUUCUGGAUUGGAUCGGUUUGAAUCGGUUUGGAAUCCUUCCAAACCGAAAUCCAAACCGAAUGAUGUCGGUUUGCAAUCCAAUAAACCGAAACCAGUUUUUUUACUAAUGAAACCGAUCCAAACCGAUCCAAAUGAUCGGUUUGGAUUAGUUUGGAUCGGUUCGGUUAAAAUAUGCCCACCCCUAAUUUCAUUGCCUUCUGACUAUUUCCUAACUGUCAUUGUUUUUAGUGCAUGUUGACAACUUAUAAUCGUUUCCUUCUUACAAAAUAUAUAUUUCUUAAUGUUUACGUAAAAGGGUAUAAUGUACCCAUUAUAUUGGUCGUUCUCUCCUUCAGACAAUAUCACUGCAUAUGCCGAUUCCUAUUUCAGUUCCAUGUCUCUAGCUUAAACUGUACAGUUUUUACAAUGAUAGAAACUUAUUCAUUUUGGUCAGUGCAUUGAUUUUUGUUAUAAGCCUCCAUUAUCACUUCUCCACCUCCCCCGGUUAUUGUUGUUAUUGUUUUUCAUUGUGCACGUUAUUAUUGGAGAUAUGGAUUAGCUGUUAAUGAGAAUCAUGUACUUCAUUUCACUAUAAAAAUUGACUUAUGAGAUCUGAUUCUUCAAUGAGUCCUUUUGUUACCUUUUUUUUUCCUCUUUCAUUCUUUCUUUCUUUUUUUCUUUUAUGUUUAUGUUGGGUUGAUUUGUUUUUCUUUUUCUACUCCUUAUAUUAGCAUGUGAACAUUAAGUCAUUAACAUAGCAUAGAACUUAGAACUUUUGUUAUGCAAUAUUGGGCCCUUGAGAGUUUCAGAGUUCUCUACCCUUAACAAUUUGUGUUUUAGAGUAUAAUAACCUGAUGAGUAAAAUUGAUUAUAUGUUACUCAAAAGAUAUAUAGUGAGAGUAAUUUUUUUUUUCUUUUUGGCGGGUUUUUCCAAAUUGGCUCUAUUAUUCUUGCUCUACAUGAUGUGAGUGAUGUUUUUAUGGAGGCUGCCAAAGCUUUUAAGAAUUCUCAUUCUAAGAAUGAACUUGGAGCAACUGUGAUCUUUGGAUUAUUUGCAAUAUCUUGGGUCAUUCUACGAUUAAUAUUCUUCCCAUUUUGGGUCAUCAAAUGUUAAGAUUUGCCUGCAUGAUAAAUGAUUUUGUUAGCCUAAAGGGCUACACAUACACUACAAGAAAAUAAACAAUAGAUGACGGAUAAUUUAUGACAGAUUAUAGGUAUAUCAUAAAAUUACUACAGAAUUAUGAUAGAAUUUUUAAUCUAUCAUAGAUUUAUGGUGGGCUUCUGAUAGAAAUAUUUACUAUCAUGAAUUUAUUAUGGUUUUAUGAUAGGAUUAUUUUUUACCAUGAAAUUAUGAUAGAAUUGUAAUAGAAAUUUAUUCUAUCAAAAACGUAUGAUAGAAAAAUGAUUUUGACCAAAUUUGAUGUAUUAUAUUAUUUAAAAAAUAAAAGAUGUGUUUUAAUAAUUAAAAAAAAUGCCACCAAAACGCUACCGUUUUAGCAACUUAAAGCUUUUUUUCUUUUUUCUAAGUGUUAAACGUUAUAACGCUACUUAGAAAUCAAAAUCCCUAAACGCUACUUUUCUUCCUCCUUCUCGCCAUUCACAAACCCUCUGUCUGAAACCCUUAUUCUUGCCGUCCUUCUACCGUUCACAACUGUCGUUGCCAUCAUACUUGAUUUCUUCUUGCUUAGUUUCACUUUGGCCUCUAAUACGAUCUGUCUCCUUCACUUUGUUUCACUCUAUCUCCUUGGCUUUUAGAUCGGAAUGGACGUUGACUUCUCCCUCCUCCCUGCCACCACCACUGUCCGUUCCUCCUCCUCCUCCGGUGGUUGCACUGAUAUUCUUGGCCGGAGUAACACCCCUUCCUUCUCUUAUUUCAAAGACUGAAAGUUUAAUUACAGAGCCGAUCUAAAAGCCAAGGUGAGCCUUUUUCUUGUCAAUUUCGUUUGGUUUGAUUCAUACCCUUUAUGGGUUUUUGAAGAUUAAAUCUUUGAUGGGUUUCUUUUUUGUUUUUGUAUUUAUUAUAUAGUAGACACAUUAUUGUGUUUUUGUUUUUGUUUUUUUUCCUUUUUGUUUUUCUUUGUCUGGUAUAAGUUAUUUUCCUAAAUUUUUGGACGAUUGUAAUUAGUGGGUCUAUUUCAGUUUUUGGAUCUUGCUUCUUGAAUAUUCAAAGUUGCGUUUUCUUUCUUUUUUGUUUUGGUUGAAGAAAUUUGAUUAUGUUUCACUUCUGUGAUUAAGUUAAGUUUCUUCUAUUAGCUUUAUUUACUCCAUAAUUUCUUUUUUACUAAGUAUUUGCAAAUGAAUAUUCCAUUUUACUUUCACUAUUUUAUUUUAUUUUAUUUUUGCUCUUUUUAACGUUUAGUCAAUUAUUCUCAUCUAUGGAGUUUUAAACGUUGGUAUGUGCUUAAGCAUUAAAUGCAGAUGUGGAAUGGAAGUGUGCUGAUUUACAACAUAUUUUAAUGAUAUAUCUCAUACAUGAAACAUAAUUUUCUAAGGAAAUUCUUAAAUUUACUUGUAGAAUGAGUUAUGAUUCAUAAAUCUGGAGUACGUAGUAAUUGAUGUCCCUGAAUGUAAUGGAAUUCAAUAGAAAUUAUACUGCAGGCUGAGGAGUUUUUAAAUCAGGCUGUGAUCAAUGACGUUACUAUGUUUUUUUUUCCCACUCAAUAGAGAAAUUUAAAAUCUGUUUCUUUUGGAUCAUUUUAAAUUUGCUAAAUUUCAGGUAUUGGCACCAAUUCAUGUACUCUUCCUAUUGGUUUGACCUUGUCUAGAUAUGUAUUACAACAAGCACUUUUGCUGGCCUUGAAUAGACCAUAUGCAGGAUCACAAGGUUAUUGGUAUUUCUAAUUUUUUUCCUUUUUGUGGAGGGGAAGGCUACCUCACAACAAGCACUUUUGCUGGCCUUGGAUAGACCAUAUGCAGGAUCACAAGGUUAUUGGUAUUUCUAAUUUUUUCCUUUUUGUGGAGGGGAAGGCUACCUCUCCUGCUGUAUCCAAAGUCUUUGAGUCAAUUUCGGUGAGAUCUGCUUCCUCAAUUACUUGUAAUAAUUAGGACUUUUCACUUUUAUUUUUCAAAUAUCCAUAGCCAUGAACUAUAACUUAUAUGUUUGCAGGGGGUAAAGGUUAUAUACAGAACAAGAGAACUAGAGGAACAACAAGUCAAAAGGUCAGUGUAUACUGAUAUUCGAUUUAAAUGGUCAAUGUUGAUAGAGAUUAUUUAUUUUUAUUUUUAAUUAUGCAUAGUUUUAUCCAAUUUCUAAUUGUUUCAACUAAGAUGCAACACACUUUGUUUUGAGUUUCUUAUGUGCAUACACAGAGUUUUAAAACUGUGAUGUAAAUGUGAAGAGUUUAUGGCAUUGGGUUGGGGGUGAGGGGUUUAAAUUUUGUUGCAAGGUCAUUCAGUUUUGUUUGUUUAUUACCUGAGAUAGCUGCUAUAAGAUGUACCUAGCAAUAUUGAUCUGGUAGUCUUCCUUAAUUAUGUGAGUGGAUCUGUACUUAUUACACGAAUAAAAUCUCAUUAGUAUAUUUUGGUGCUAAAAGAAUGUCACACUCUUUAUUUUGAUGGUCCCUUUGCAUUGUCACGUUGACAUGAACGAUAAUCAUGCAAUAUAAUUUGUUUCAGGAG